UCUAUGGGGAACCCAAUCGUACAUCCAAAGUGGAUUCCACUCUAGGAUUAUCAAUAUAUCUCAUAUUUACAUAAUUGUAAUAUUUGUUUGUUUUUUUGUUUCAUACAAGAAUCGGAAUGCUAUAUUUGAAGAUAUUGUUGGAAUAAUUAGAGUUUUUAAGAAGAAUGAAGAAGAAGAUGGAGAAAGAUUUCUUAUCCCAAUACCUCUUUUCAACUCAUCAAACCUAAUUUUUU
Molecule: long non-coding RNA, 233 nt
Filed under: Lathyrus oleraceus (garden pea)
Lineage: Eukaryota; Viridiplantae; Streptophyta; Magnoliopsida; Fabales; Fabaceae
Description: Pisum sativum (pea) long non-coding RNA (PSAT_LNC001521)
Source: RNAcentral